UUUCUUCCAACCCAUCAUCCAUGCCGAUUCCUCUCUGUUAUGGACGACGAUAAUAAUCAACCCAAACCCAAGUCCAAAACAACUCUCUUUCUGGGUUGUUUUGGAUUUUCUGGCAAACAAGUUUCCCGGAAAAAAACUGAAAAAAUUGUACUAUCUGAUCACAAGCAUAAGUGGUUUUCUCGAUCAAGAACGUUUCUCUUAAAACAAUCAGGCACCAAAACCGUUCCAGUCGAGUACUCUGCUAUAUCUGAGAAACUACAGACUACGUUAAAGAAGUCAUCAUCAAAACCCAAGAAGAAGAACUCCUCCUCCGAUCAUGAUAUCCCCUCAAAACGUAAAACUCCGGCAUCCCAAGAUAAGUUUCCGGCAACUAAUCCUAAAGUUGAUACUACUUCAGAUCAAGCUUCCGAAGACAGUCCCCACAAGACAAACCACAGUUCUGAACAGAACAUCAUCCUUGAAAAUGGUAAACUUUUGAAUUCUCCUAAACAGUUGUCCUUCCGCCGGAAAAUAGACUCCUCAAGAAUUUGCUCCUGCAGCCAGCCCGGUUCACCCAAUCCCAGAACCCAUAAAGCCCACCC
This 581-nucleotide unclassified non-coding RNA is filed under the name Hevea brasiliensis (rubber tree). The record is from RNAcentral. Lineage: Eukaryota; Viridiplantae; Streptophyta; Magnoliopsida; Malpighiales; Euphorbiaceae.